GAUGAAUAACGCAGCGAAAUGCGAUAAGUAAUGUGAAUUGCAGAAUUCAGUGAAUCAUCGAAUCUUUGAACGCACAUUGCGCCCCCUGGUAUUCCGGGGGGCAUGCCUGUCCGAGCGUCAUUGCUGCCCUCAAGCACGGCUUGUGUGUUGGGCCUCCGUCCUCCUCCCGGGGGACGGGCCCGAAAGGCAGCGGCGGCACCGCGUCCGGUCCUCGAGCGUAUGGGGCUUCGUCACCCGCUCUUGUAGGCCCGGCCGGCGCUUGCCGACACAUCAAUCUUUUUUCCAGGUUGACCUCGGAUCAGGUAGGGAUACCCGCUGAACUUAAGCAUAUCAAUAAGCGGAGGA
RNAcentral lists this unclassified non-coding RNA (345 nucleotides) under soil metagenome. RNAcentral's name for it is "partial contains 5.8S ribosomal RNA, internal transcribed spacer 2, and large subunit ribosomal RNA". The stretch from base 1 to 120 matches the Rfam family "5.8S ribosomal RNA", at positions 35 to 154 of the family's 154-position model. The record is from RNAcentral.